GGCCCCUUAGCUCAGUUGGAUAGAGCACCUGCCUUCUAAGCAGGUUGUCGCAGGUUCGAAUCCUGCAGGGGUCGCCA
Molecule: transfer RNA, 77 nt
Filed under: Erythrobacter sp.
Lineage: Bacteria; Pseudomonadati; Pseudomonadota; Alphaproteobacteria; Sphingomonadales; Erythrobacteraceae
Also listed under: 88 other names
Description: tRNA-Arg
Rfam family: tRNA
About the family: Transfer RNA (tRNA) molecules are approximately 80 nucleotides in length. Their secondary structure includes four short double-helical elements and three loops (D, anti-codon, and T loops).
Source: RNAcentral